This 432-nucleotide ribosomal RNA is filed under the name uncultured Comamonas sp. RNAcentral describes it as "bacterial SSU rRNA". It matches the Rfam family "Bacterial small subunit ribosomal RNA", at positions 355 to 779 of the family's 1533-position model. Lineage: Bacteria; Pseudomonadati; Pseudomonadota; Betaproteobacteria; Burkholderiales; Comamonadaceae. The record is from RNAcentral.
UGGGGAAUUUUGGACAAUGGGCGCAAGCCUGAUCCAGCAAUGCCGCGUGCAGGAUGAAGGCCUUCGGGUUGUAAACUGCUUUUGUACGGAACGAAAAAGCUCUCUCUAAUACAGGGGGUGAAUGACGGUACCGUAAGAAUAAGCACCGGCUAACUACGUGCCAGCAGCCGCGGUAAUACGUAGGGUGCAAGCGUUAAUCGGAAUUACUGGGCGUAAAGCGUGCGCAGGCGGUUUUGUAAGACAGAGGUGAAAUCCCCGGGCUCAACCUGGGAACUGCCUUUGUGACUGCAAAGCUGGAGUGCGGCAGAGGGGGAUGGAAUUCCGCGUGUAGCAGUGAAAUGCGUAGAUAUGCGGAGGAACACCGAUGGCGAAGGCAAUCCCCUGGGCCUGCACUGACGCUCAUGCACGAAAGCGUGGGGAGCAAACAGGAUU